Molecule: long non-coding RNA, 437 nt
Organism: Cyprinus carpio carpio
Lineage: Eukaryota; Metazoa; Chordata; Actinopteri; Cypriniformes; Cyprinidae
Source: Ensembl
UUCAAAACAGGUUUGAUGCACAGUGUUCAGAACAGGUUACGGCCCUGGUGUGUGGACUGAAGCGCUCUCGCUGAGGUUAAUCCUGAUGAGAAUGAAUACAGUGAAUGCUUCAUCCAGCGAGGUGCUGCUGUGUGUGUGUGUGUGUGUUUGAUCUGUUUGUUGUAGAAGCGCUUUGGCAUCUGUUUGCCCGCUGCUGUCUGGGUCUGGCACAGGAGAAGCACGGCGGACGGAUCAGAGCAGCCUGGCGGCAGAAACCCGACCAUGUCAGAGUUCAGCGGCAGAGAUCUGGAGAACAGAGGCCGCGAAUCGCUCGAGGAGACAGAAGACAGACUCAGCAGUUAGAUCCGCGACCUCGCAGGUCACCAGAAGGUUCCUGUGCUGAUUUCUGGAAUGUCAUACAGUGUCAGUCGUUAAGUCUAAUCAAUGGACUACCUAAU